This 1505-nucleotide ribosomal RNA is filed under the name uncultured bacterium. RNAcentral describes it as "bacterial SSU rRNA". It matches the Rfam family "Bacterial small subunit ribosomal RNA". The record is from RNAcentral.
GGGUUUGAUCCUGGCUCAGGAUGAACGCUAGCGGCAGGCUUAACACAUGCAAGUCGAGGGGUAAUUCCGGCUUUUGUCGGAAACGACCGGCGAACGGGUGAGUAACGCGUAUGCAACCUGCCUGUAACUGCGGCAUAGCCCCGAGAAAUCGGGAUUAAUAUCGCAUAGUAUCCCAGUAUCGCAUGAUACAGGGAUGAAAGCUUCGGCGGUUACAGAUAGGCAUGCGUGACAUUAGCUUGUUGGUGAGGUAACGGCUCACCAAGGCGACGAUGUCUAGGGGGUCUGAGAGGAUGAUCCCCCACACUGGUACUGAGACACGGACCAGACUCCUACGGGAGGCAGCAGUGAGGAAUAUUGCGCAAUGGAGGAAACUCUGACGCAGCCAUGCCGCGUGCAGGAUGACAGCCCUAUGGGUUGUAAACUGCUUUUCUGCAGGAAGAAUCUUCCGUACGUGUACGGAAUUGACGGUACUGCAGGAAUAAGCAUCGGCUAACUCCGUGCCAGCAGCCGCGGUAAUACGGAGGAUGCAAGCGUUAUCCGGAUUCAUUGGGUUUAAAGGGUGCGCAGGCGGAGGUGUAAGUCAGAGGUGAAAGCCCACAGCUUAACUGUGGAAUGGCCUUUGAUACUGCACGUCUUGAGUCUAGCUGAGGUAGGCGGAAUGUAGUAUGUAGCGGUGAAAUGCUUAGAUAUACUACAGAACACCCAUUGCGAAGGCAGCUUACCAAACUAGCACUGACGCUCAGGCACGAAAGCGUGGGUAGCCAACAGGAUUAGAUACCCUGGUAGUCCACGCCGUAAACGUUGAUCACUCGUUGUUGGCAAUAUAUCGUCAGCGACUCAGCAAAAGCUUUAAGUGAUCCACCUGGGGAUUACGUCCGCAAGGAUGAAACUCAAGGGAAUUGACGGGGGCCCACACAACCGGUGGAGCACGUGGUUUAAUUCGAUGAUAAGCGAAGAACCUUACCAGGGCUUGACCUAGCGGUAGUAGGACCCUGAAAAGGGAACGACCUCAAGCUUUGCUUGAGGAGCCGUGGCAGGUAUUGCAUGGCUGUCGUCAGCUCGUGUCGUGAGAUGUUCGGUUAAGUCCGGCAACGAGCGCAACCCACAUCUUUAGUUGCCAGCAUUUAGUUGGGCACUCUAAAGAAACUGCCCGUGAUAAGCGGGAGGAAGGUGUGGAUGACGUCAAGUCCUCAUGGCCCUUACGGGUUGGGCUACACACGUGCUACAAUGGCCGGUACAGUGGGCAGCUUAUGCGCGAGCAUUUGCUAAUCCCUAAAACCGGUCUCAGUCCGGAUUGGAGUCUGCAACCCGACUCCAUGAAGCUGGAUUCGCUAGUAAUCGCACAUCAGCCAUGGUGCGGUGAAUACGUUCCCGGGCCUUGUACACACCGCCCGUCAAGCCAUGGAAGCUGGGGGUACCUGAAGUCCGUAACCGUUAAGGAGCGGCCUAGGGUAAAACCGGUGACUGGGGCUAAGUCGUAACAAGGUAGCCGAAGGGCGAAUUCG